This 131-nucleotide small nucleolar RNA is filed under the name Homo sapiens (human). RNAcentral describes it as "small nucleolar RNA, H/ACA box 11G (SNORA11G)". It matches the Rfam family "Small nucleolar RNA SNORA11". From Rfam's summary of the family: U107 (SNORA11) is a member of the H/ACA class of snoRNAs that guide the sites of modification of uridines to pseudouridines. This snoRNA was identified by RT-PCR from blood cells and its expression confirmed by Northern blot analysis. The record is from RNAcentral. Lineage: Eukaryota; Metazoa; Chordata; Mammalia; Primates; Hominidae.
GGGGUGCGCUCAGAGCAGAGGGCCUUAAGAAUGGCUCCUCUGUUUACAACACACCCAACAGGAAUCUGGGCUUACUCCUCACAGGUGGCAUGAUACUUUGGCCUUCCUGUGACAUCAUGCCCUAUACAUGU